This 19-nucleotide small nuclear RNA is filed under the name Arabidopsis thaliana (thale cress). RNAcentral describes it as "snRNA_18812". Lineage: Eukaryota; Viridiplantae; Streptophyta; Magnoliopsida; Brassicales; Brassicaceae. The record is from RNAcentral.
AUGGAUCCGUAACUUCGGG